This is a long non-coding RNA of Culex quinquefasciatus (southern house mosquito), 155 nucleotides long. RefSeq lists it as uncharacterized. The record is from RefSeq and is a predicted model, not a curated record. The transcript is spliced from 2 exons. Lineage: Eukaryota; Metazoa; Arthropoda; Insecta; Diptera; Culicidae.
GUCCAGGCAACCCAGCAGGAGGAGUAGCAGCUGGAAGAAGGGUUUUAAGAUUCUGAUGAUGGCCGAAAGGAGAAAAGUAGGCCGAAACGUAAGAAAAAACGUUUAACAAUUGUGUUAUUAUUCGCCGAAAAAUAUCAAUUUAAACAAAGAAAGUA